RNAcentral lists this long non-coding RNA (267 nucleotides) under Homo sapiens (human). RNAcentral describes it as "HSALNT0170872". Lineage: Eukaryota; Metazoa; Chordata; Mammalia; Primates; Hominidae. The record is from RNAcentral.
GGCGUGUGGAAGGUUUUGGGGUGUGGCUUCAGGUGAGUCUUCAGGAGGCUUCGUUAGGAUUGGGCAUGUUUGGGACGGAAGUGGUUCGGGACUGAUGGACAUAAGAAGGGUUUGGAGUGAGUCUGGAGACUGAGCCCAGCUGUGCUGUCCGCUCACAGGUCCUAGGCAACGACUGUCAGGAAGUUCCCAAAAUAAGUCACUCACAACCUCAUCGUCCUGGUAAUAAUCAGCACAGAGAACUUCUGUUUCUCCCGCACACCAAGCAAG